Molecule: long non-coding RNA, 2923 nt
Filed under: Nicotiana benthamiana
Lineage: Eukaryota; Viridiplantae; Streptophyta; Magnoliopsida; Solanales; Solanaceae
Description: long non-coding RNA (NBEN_LNC029765)
Source: RNAcentral
AUUAAAAGAAAUUGGGCCAAAGUUGCGCGAAUGCAUACUCCAGUUUUGUUUUUAGAAUCGCCAUCAUGUCACGCGAACAUGUCCACAACCGCGAUAGUAUAUUAAAUGGCCCAAAGGUUUUUCUACGAAUAUCCUCAUUAAUAACUAAUUAAAGUGUUUGUGAGGGCCGUAGAAAUUUUUUAAACAACGCACCUCGAUCUCUAAGAAUUUUAAAAGAUUAAUUAAAUGCGGGCCACACAUUUGAGAUUUUAUCUGGCGCGACGCACCUCAUUACCGAUUUAAAAAGAGGAACUCAAACUAAAUUUCGAAGGGCUACAAACUAUUUGUGUUAUCUAAUAUGGCUCACCUCCAUUAUUUGAAAGAACAUAGUUAUCUAAAUAUUAAAGGAGUUGGGUUUCUACUUAUUGUAUACUACUGUUAAGUUUAAAAAAACUUAUGAGCAACCCACGUCUGAUUGUGAAGGACUUUGAGCUGGUCGCAAGCCAAGGACUAACCAUCCUUUACUAUAAGUCAACAUAAAGACCAAACAAGCCCACAAUGAAGCCCAGCACGGAGACCAAGUCGCUGAAAGUGAAAACCAAUACAAUUGAGCCAAAAGCUGGUAGCCCAAUAUACCCACUUAAAAAUUAAUUCCAUGAGUCAGCAUUGAAUGUAAAAUUAACUUAACAUCUUUUGUCGCAUGGCAAUCUAAGAGAACAUCACUACCCUAAGGAAGAUCAAAAUUCAACUGAGAAAUGAUUUGAGAAACUUAUUAACAUAUAACCAAGGCCCAGCAUGCUUUUCUAUGCGAACAAACGAGUAUGUGCUACCUGAAAUUUACUUUUGGUUCAUUUUGUAAUUUCACAUGGAUCACUACUGAUCUCAAACCCACGUAUGAAUAAAUAUCCACCAACCAAAUAAAGCCAAAAUCAGACCCAAAAUGCAGGACUAAUAUUUCCAAAUGUGACAAUCAUCAAAACAUUUCUUGUCUUUACUUAUGUUAUCCAACACAACAGUAGGCUUCAUUUACACUUGAAAAUCAACACAAUGGUAUCAUACAGCCUAUAGAUUAGUCCCUGAUGAUAUCCAUAUUUCAAUAAUGACAAAAGUUCAGCUAUUGCAACUAAUAUUCAGCAUAUAUUUUUAACAACUAAACCUGAAAGUGCAUACCAGAUCUCCAUCUGCAGCUUAUACUAACAAUAUUAAAAUUCCUAUGACUUCAGUAAUCAAAGAAUCCAUUCAAACUAAGUAGGCUACCAUUAACUCGAAUCAACAGAACCCACAUCUUAUGCAUAUUAGAUACAUAGGAACUUAAGCAAACUUAAUAUUCAGUAUAACAAACUAAGAUUUACAGAGAGAAGGAAUUCAAAUAACAAGCUAAUCAUAUGAACAGCACACAAGACUAAAAUGUCAACUCCAAACUUCUAUUUUUCAUAUUACUUUCAACUUGAAGAUCACUUAUACAGGUUUCAGAAUAUGUACCUGGAAAUUGCACAAAAAGGAAAAGAAGUGACGGACUAGCAAUAAAAUAGUAGCCAGCAAACCAGCAACACCAGUUCCAACGAUUAAAAACCUAGGAAAUCAACUCAGCAAAACCAGUGAAAGAUUAACCCCCAAUCAAAAAACAUUAAUAACCAAAUAUCAAUCCAUUUGAAUAUCAGAAUAGGUACUAUUGUUUUUCAGAAGUAAAGAAAAUCACUGAAAUUCAAUCGAGGAGUAGAACUUUUGGCCUUUUUGUAUUUUUCUGGAAUUCUAUCUCUAAUUUUCUCUGCCUUGAAAGGCAAGAAUAAGGUGCCUUUAUAGGAAAGCAAAUAGAGCAUACCUAAGAGUUCAAUUUUCACUUGUCCCUUUCUAAUUCUUAUUUUGGCUUAGGUGUCCCUGUUUGAUUUUCUAUCAUUCAAAAUAACUCAUUCCCCAACUUCCUAGAAGUUUCCUAGUUAAGAAAGAUUCAUUCUAUCAAAUCUCCCUAAACUACCCUUCAAGAAGUUGAUAUUUACCUUCACAGAAACUCAGUUUAUGGGUCAAAUUAAACUAAGACCCCACCCAACCCAUGGGCUUGCAUACUACAACCCAAACUGAAUUUCCAAACCUUGAACUUAACCGAAACUUUUAAAGAAACAAACUUCCGAAUAUUUUAAACAGAAAAAGAUUUCAAUAGAGAUGCUUGGGAAACAGUAAUUCAAAGCAAUUAAAUCAUCCAUUUAAUCAAAUUAUACUAAGAUACUAAUAUGCUAAUUCCCAUUUUAUUAAACACCAAACUAAACCUGAAUGGAAAAGGGAGAAGACUCAAAAUCCUAAUGACCUAAGGUAGUUCAACUUAUUACUGUUAACAAACUUAAAGUUAGCAGCCUAAAUCAUGAAAUUAAAUAAGAAAUAACACUCGUGAAGAAAGAAACCAAAAAAAAUGAAGCGAAGAUCAGAGAGAAACAAAACAAUCACAAAGAAAAAAAGAAUUACCCCCAUACCUACAUUGGAUAGACCCUUGUAUGAACUUGAACCUUUGACCAACCAAGAAAGUAACAAAGGGAAGAACCUAGGGCUUUUUCAGACCCCUGCUUCAACGUUGAAAGUCCUGGGCUGCUUUGAAAAGAAACGAAAGCUCAGUUCAGGUAGAAAAGGGUGAGGGAUUGCAUGGUGCAAGUUUUGGGUAGAAUUAGGACUUUUAGGGUGUUGGUUCUAGAUCUAAAAUUCGAGGAGCUUAGUGAUAGUUUUAAAUAAACGAGCUGGGGAUUCGGGACGAGGAGAUGGAGGGGAUUAUGCGAUGUGAAUUUAGGCUUGAUUGGCUGUCGGCCGCCACCAUGGGAAAUUUCCGGCAGGCAGCGGUCGAAGGGCGGAGAUCGGCAGACCUUCAGGGUGUGAUAGGGAUGAGAGAUGGGGAGUGGGGUGUCGUUAAGACAUAUAUACAUCUCCUUAGUUUAGAACCGUUAAUGUGAUGAGAUCUAAC